Homo sapiens (human) is the source of this 1297-nucleotide long non-coding RNA. The record is from Ensembl. NCBI's taxonomy places the organism in Eukaryota, Metazoa, Chordata, Mammalia, Primates, Hominidae.
ACAGUGGCGGGAGAACUUAUCAAAAUCCACCACGGUCAGGAGCAGGGUCCUCCUCUGGGCCUCCAGGAAGGGGAUCUCGAAGGUGUAGCGCUCCUCAAACACGGGCUUCUGGGUCUUGCGUUUGACCCCGGUCUGCUUUGAGUUCUUCUGGUCUGGCAGGAGACAGAUCUUGACGUAGGGGUUGGAGUGCGCCAUGUCCUGGCGCGAGCCAUCGUGGGAGAUGGGAGGUGGCAGGUCCCUGGCCUCGAUCACGCGCACGGUGAGGUGGUUGUGCAGCAGGUCGUACUGAGUGCUGAAGUGCAGCAUGCCCAGCUGGUACUUGGACAGGAUCUCCUCGUCUGUCAGAGAGUCCACAUCGUCGCUGUUGGAGUCGAGGGAGUACAGGUGGGGUUCGAACUUCCUGAAAUAGUCGUCGGGGUUAUAGGUCCGUCUGAGCACCGAAGGUUGGAUGGGCUCCUUCUUGGCGCUGAGAACGCCAAACUCGAUGGGUUUAAUAUCGAUGAGUGGAGAGCUGGGACGUCUUGACUCAAGACCUGAGAGCCACCAGAAAUAACAAUGAAGACAGCCACAUACGGGGCAGACCUGGGCCACUUUGCAGGAAAGGUUGGACACCAAUGAUCUCCACCUGAAUGGAUUUGUUUCAUGCAUUUGAAGCUUUUCCCUCUGUCUGGUGAAUUUCAGACAUCGGUUCACACAGAGCAGAGAUACUUUUGUGGAGCAGAAGGAGGUUGGGAGCCUCUGGGUGUUUGUCCUCCUUUUUCCUCCUCACCCAAAUCAUGCUGUUUGGUCAAACACAUACGCCACACAACAGAGUGGACAAAUUGGGUGGUCAAAUUUGAUGGCCACACAUACAUUUUGUUUAGGCUUGAAAGUAAGAAUGUUUCACAUAAAAAAACCCAGAUUGCCAAUAUCUCUUUACAAAGAUCAGACAAUACGGAGCCCCCAAUCCCAUACAGCUACCAUUGGCCAGAGCUGAGUAGCAGACACCCUGGCCCCCUUUCAAUGGGGCAUUUGCUUUUCAAUUGACCGAAGUCCCCACCCUGCCCUAGUAACUCUCCAGACAGAGCGGCAGCUGCCAUUUGUCACUGCACUCAGGCAAUGUUUAUCUCUAUGCAACCUCUGCACUUGGCCACUGAUGCAACCCGCCUAGCUCCCAAAGUCACCAGAAUUGACAAACCCUGCUAUAUAAUAUAGCCACACUCAUCUUUCAGAAUCUGAAAUGAUAUACACUGACAAUGUUAAUCAAUUCAGCCAAUUCAAUCAAACUUAAAAUUAAUAAAGCAAAAAUCAAUCAAAA